Zootermopsis nevadensis is the source of this 73-nucleotide non-coding RNA. The record is from Rfam. Lineage: Eukaryota; Metazoa; Arthropoda; Insecta; Blattodea; Termopsidae.
GCCACGGUGGUAUAGCGGUUAGAACGCUGGUCUUGUAAUCCUGGGGUCUCGGGUUCGAUUCCCGGCGGUGCCC